Molecule: ribosomal RNA, 434 nt
Filed under: uncultured Lachnospiraceae bacterium
Lineage: Bacteria; Bacillati; Bacillota; Clostridia; Lachnospirales; Lachnospiraceae
Description: partial 16S ribosomal RNA
Rfam family: Bacterial small subunit ribosomal RNA
Source: RNAcentral
ACGGAAGGCAGCAGUGGGGAAUAUUGCACAAUGGGGGAAACCAUGAUGCAGCGACGCCGCGUGAGUGAAGAAGUAUUUCGGUAUGUAAAGCUCUAUCAGCAGGAAAGAAAAUGACGGUACCUGACUAAGAAGCCCCGGCUAACUACGUGCCAGCAGCCGCGGUAAUACGUAGGGGGCAAGCGUUAUCCGGAUUUACUGGGUGUAAAGGGAGCGUAGACGGCUUUGCAAGUCUGAAGUGAAAGCCCGGGGCUCAACCCCGGAACUGCUUUGGAAACUGUAGAGCUAGAGUGCAGGAGAGGUAAGUGGAAUUCCUAGUGUAGCGGUGAAAUGCGUAGAUAUUAGGAGGAACACCAGUGGCGAAGGCGGCUUACUGGACUGUAACUGACGUUGAGGCUCGAAGGCGUGGGGAGCAAACAGGAUUAGAUACCCUGGUA